This is a long non-coding RNA of Cryptomeria japonica (Japanese cedar), 433 nucleotides long. RefSeq lists it as uncharacterized. Lineage: Eukaryota; Viridiplantae; Streptophyta; Pinopsida; Cupressales; Cupressaceae. The record is from RefSeq and is a predicted model, not a curated record. The transcript is spliced from 3 exons.
AACAUCUGAAAGUUAAUUAACAAUAAAAUUUCCAAGAAGCCCUAUAUUGCGCCAAAGGAGAAAAAAGACUUAUGGUUAAGCCACGGUAUAAUUGUAAGCAAAGGAUACAGGGGAAGGGCGGCGGCUGCAAAUCGUGAACUCUGCUCUCAAUGUGAUAUGGUAAGGGAAAGGGCUUGCAGAGAUACUGAUAACCCUCAACUCUCCUCGCAGCCCGCGCCUCUUCAAGGCUUACGCAGGCAGAAGUGAAAUGGCGACACUAGCAGAGAACAGAGCAGAGUAAUCACUAACUGUUUCAGACUAUUCUCUCCUUUUUCUCGUUAUCUAUUCCGCCGCUGUAACGUGAAGCAUUGUAACCACUAUGUUAUCUGCCAAAAAAAUAUAAAACUGUACAUUUUGCUUUGAGAGAAAAUAAAAAGAGAUUUCUUUUCACUUA